Molecule: ribosomal RNA, 300 nt
Filed under: uncultured Sulfophobococcus sp.
Lineage: Archaea; Thermoproteati; Thermoproteota; Thermoprotei; Desulfurococcales; Desulfurococcaceae
Description: partial 16S ribosomal RNA
Rfam family: Bacterial small subunit ribosomal RNA (bases 52-300)
Source: RNAcentral
GAGAAAUACUGGCAAGGGGCACGGGUAAAGGGUGGGGGGCGGUAGGUAAGAGGAAUGACUGGGGGUAAGGCGUGCGCAGGGGGUUUUGGAAGACAGGGUGAAAAUCCCCGGGCUUAACCUGGGAACGGCGUUUGUGACGGAAAGACUAGAGUACGGCAGAGGGGGGUGGAAUUCAACGUGUAGCAGUGAAAUGCGUAGAGAUGUGGAGGAACACCAAUGGCGAAGGCAGCCCCCUGGGUCGAUACUGACGCUCAUGCACGAAAGCGUGGGUAGCAAACAGGAUUAGAUACCCGAGUAGUC